CUCUAAUAAACACAGUAUAAACAUCCUACUAGAUAUUAGCAUAAUAUAGUAUGCCUUCAGAGGUUAUAGGAUAGAGUCUACAAAUAUAGGUGAAUUAAAUGAUGCUGUAUACACCAAGAGUCAAUAGCUUGGGAGGUAUCAUGCAGCCGGACACUUAGUGAUGGUCAACCUAAACCAGUGCGUCCAUCAUGCCCAUUCUGGAAGUUAGUGGAUGCGGGACUGUCAUUUUGGCUUGCUCAUGAUGCACAACACGGCCUCGGGGGUAUCUGGGGGAAGCAGCAGGAUGGCUCGGGGUGCGGCAGGGCAUUUCUGGGGAAGCUUUCACAAUCUCAGGUAGGGUCUGCCUGUGCUGCAGUGUUCUCCAAAAAGCAUCGAAGAGGGCCUCCAAGUGCUGAAGUAUAAGGAGCUCUUCGCCUCUGGGUAUAGGGGUUUUCGUGGCAUCUG
Molecule: non-coding RNA, 444 nt
Organism: Pelobates cultripes (western spadefoot toad)
Lineage: Eukaryota; Metazoa; Chordata; Amphibia; Anura; Pelobatidae
Source: the annotation of a GenBank genome assembly